RNAcentral lists this long non-coding RNA (707 nucleotides) under Homo sapiens (human). Its description in RNAcentral is "HSALNT0106554". The record is from RNAcentral. Lineage: Eukaryota; Metazoa; Chordata; Mammalia; Primates; Hominidae.
GACCCACGGGCACCGAGAGUCCUGCUCUUCCCACCCCUUCUGCAUGUCUCCACCCAGGCGCUCAAGAGCAUGCUGCGACAGGCCACUGCCUCCGCAUGACUUGCAUUAAAAACAUGUGUCUGGGUCCCAGCUCGUGAAGUUGGCUGGAGGUGCUUCUGAGUUGGUCGCUCUGGAACCACAUGCUGGCUCUGGGACCCUCUCUCAGGGCCCCUCUGGAUGCCAGAGCAGGCUGUAUAUUGCACAGCGGGAGUUGAGAGUGGCACCUUCCGGAGCUGUGCUAUGGGGUGGUCCCCCUCCCUAAAAUGGGAAUUAUAAUAAUACCUACAGCUGACCAGAUAAAGAGAUGAGGAGAAUGUGAGGCUCAGAGUUUGGCUACCAGAGUGUUCGUGAGUAACCAGCUUUGUUACAAACCGGAAGGGAUAGUCCUGAUUUGAGAGUUUUCUGCUUCCUUUCCAUCCUGGCUUGAAGUUGGCAGCAUUUCACCCUAGGCCAUGGAACAAGAGGUGGGGUCAGCAUCUUCCUAGGGUUCCCAGAACCAAUCCGGACUGCCCGGGACCUCUCAGAGUCUCAAAGGACCUGCUAGGUUUUUGUUUUUAAAAGAUGGAGUCCCCGUGUUGCCCAGGCUGGUCUCAAACUCCUCAGCCUCCCGAGUAGCUGGGAUUACAGGCAUGUGCCACCAUGCCCAGCAUGGACCUGUUAGCUUGAGG